CUGAUUCUCAGCGGAGAAUCUUUGUUCUCUCAGAGAGAAUCUUUGUUCUCGCAGAUCGGCCUGGAAUUGUCGGGGAAAAUGGCCGUCCGGAGGAAAAGGAAGGAUAAUAAUAAAGCUUCCGUCGGGAGAAUUUCACAAAAGCAGAGUCACAUUUCAAAGCAGCUGCCGGUCCCCACUGAGGGGACCCGGGAAGAGACAGCCGCAUCUGUGAGCGCCUGUUUAGUUUCUGUCUGAAACCUGCCAGAAUCCGCACGCGGCUGUCAGCCACCAGAUGAGGAACAUGAAGCAAAAAGGGACUUGCCCAAGGCACCCAGCAAGUCAACAGCAAAUCUAUGACUAGAACUCAGGUCACGCGAUGUCCAGCUCACCAUGGUCUUGUUCGAAGACUGCCUCCUGGUUCACAUUGCCUCCUCUCUGUAGAAAGGAGCACGGAAACAGCCCUGCAUCAACCUCACUUCCUAAUGCAUCCAGACCAGACCCUUGCGCUGUUGAAUGAAUAGAUGAACCAUUGAAUGGAUUCACCUUUACCCUAAAGACAGAAUGCCAUCAACCUCCUGUCAUGGUGCAAGUAUUCUACUUUUAAAGAAUCUAAUUUAUAAUUCUGGUUAAACACUCUGGGUUGCCAUCACAUUUUAAAUAGGAAAUCUUUGUAAAAUCCACAAAGGGCCCCUAGAUCUCAUCUUUUGCCAUCUCUGGGGACUCAGUCUUCACCUGCCAAGGGGUGAGAAGAUGGGGAGAACAAGGAUAGCUGGGAAGAAGGGACCCAGGCAUUAGCACUCAUGCCAGGGAUUACACGCACUAAUUACAAUGCAGAGUAGCCCAAGCGCCCCAUUUCCAAAGAUCAGCAACGCCAAGAAGUCAAUGAGGCUAGAAGUUCAAGUUGGCAACUGGAGCGAGCAGUGGGGCUCCAGGGUGGGAGGUGGGGACCCGGAUGGAACAGCGCCAGCCAGGCAGGCAGCUCCCACUUGGAGAGAUGAAAGGCUUUCUGAUGGCUGCACGUAACUCAUAAUAACAUAAUUUUAUUCUUAGAAGUGAUUUCCAUUACCGGCCCUGUUUAUUAUCACAUUAUUUUCUCAAUAGCAGCAAUAAACACACUAAACUCUCCCUGUUUGCUCACAUUUUUAUUACUGUUCACAGGCGUCAGGAAAGGGUAAGCUGUGAAGGAUGCACUCAUCAUCCAGGAGCCCGUGUGCUGCUGGCACUUUCUUCCAGCUUCAAGAACCCCUGCUCUUUGGGCUGGAAGGUGCCCAGGAGCUGGAGGAACCUCCUAAGGGACAGGAAACAGGGAAGGAACUAGGCAGAGGGGCCCAAGCUGAUCGGAGCCAAGGCUGACCAGUGAGGAAUUGGUUCCAAUUUCUCUGUUUCUGUUUUUGACCUAGUAGACAAAGUGUAAAUACCCAAAGCAAAGCUCAGCUGGGAAAGAAUCUGCCUGCAAUGCAGGAGACCCUGGUUCAAUUCCUGGGUCAGGAAGUUCCCCUAGAGAAGGGAUAGAAUACCCACUCCAGUAUGUUUGGGCUUCCCUGGUAGCUCAGACAGUAAAGAAUCUGCCUGCAAUGUGGGAGACCUGGGUUCAAGGGUUGGGAAGAUCCCCUGGAGGAGGGUGUGGCAACCCACUCCAGUAUUCUUGCCUAGAGAAUCCCCAUGGACCAGAGGAGCCUGGAAGGCUACAGUCCCAGGGGUUGCAAAGACCCAGACAUGAUGAGUGUCUAAGCACACAGACAAAGUAUAAAUAAAUACCCCAAGCAAACAUAUGAACACUCUGUAGACUGUUCCUCAAAGCCUAAGCCAUGGCCCUUCACUGGAUUAGGAAACAAAUUUAAUGGGUCUGGACCAGCAUUUUAUUAUUUUUUAGCCUAAUUUUCAUUUUAUAUUAUAGUUGAUUGACAAUGUUGUAUUAGUUUAAGAUGUGAAAGUGAUUCAUUUGUGAAAAGAGAUUCAGUUAUACAUAUACCUACAUCCACUCUUUUUCAGAUUCUCUUCCCACAUAGGUUAUUACAGAGCAUUGAAUAAAGUUCCCUGUGCUACAUAGUAGGUCCUUGUUGAUUAUCUAUUUCAUACAAAAGUGUGUAUAUGUUAAUCACAAACUCCUACCUUAUCUUUCCCUCUACCUUCCCCCUUUGGUAACCAUAAGUUCAUUUUCUAUGUUUGUGAG
Molecule: long non-coding RNA, 2152 nt
Organism: Bos taurus (domestic cattle)
Lineage: Eukaryota; Metazoa; Chordata; Mammalia; Artiodactyla; Bovidae
Source: Ensembl